AACGAACGCUGGCGGCAUGCCUAACACAUGCCAGUCGAACGAGACCUUCGGGCCUAGUGGCGCACGGGUGCGUAACGCCGGGGAACCUGCCCGUAGGUUCGGAAUAACUCCCCGAGAGGGGUGCUAAUACCGCUUAAUGUCUUCGGACCAAAGAUGUAUCGCCGUUGGCUGGGCCCGCGUUGGAUUAGCUAGUUGGUAGGGUAAAAGCCUACCAAGGCGACGAUCCAUAGCUGGUCGGAGAGGAGGAUCAGCCGCGCUGGGGCUGAGGCACGGCCCAGAAUCCUACGCGAGGGAGCAGUGGGGAGUAUUGGACGAGGGGCGCAAGCCUGAUAACGCAACGCGGGGUGAGUGGUGAAGGGCUUAGGGUUGUACAGCUGUUUUAGACGGGGUGAUAAUGACAGUAACGGGUGAAUAAGCACCGGCUAACUACGUG
RNAcentral lists this ribosomal RNA (433 nucleotides) under uncultured bacterium. RNAcentral's name for it is "partial 16S ribosomal RNA". It matches the Rfam family "Bacterial small subunit ribosomal RNA", at positions 29 to 507 of the family's 1533-position model. The record is from RNAcentral.